CCAGUUUGAGCUUCCCAGCUGCUUUGUUUACCUAAGCAAGCCUGGGCAAUGGUGGGCGCCCCUCCCCCAGCCUUGCUGCUGCCUUGCAGUUUGAUCUCAGACUGCUGUGCUAGCAAUCAGCGAGACUCCGUGGGCGUAGGACCUCCGAGCCAGGUGCGGGAUGUAAUCUCGUGGUGCACCGUUUUUCUUAAGCCGGUCCGAAAAGCGCAAUAUUCGGUUGGGAGUGACCCGAUUUUCCAGAGAUAUGGAUAUGAGAGGCAUUCCUCCACAGAAGAGGCUUAACCACUUUGGCCCUUGAGAUCUUUACUUGAUCAAAACUUCUACAAGCGUGCUGGCAUGCUGGAGUCAGCUAGAAUUGGAUUGCCAGAGCCUGUUGUGUGCACCUGUCCCCAACUCUGUCCAGUGACCUCAGCCUCCUUUCACAGAGACUGAAUUUCAAUCAGCUGCUCUCAGUUGACAAUGAUAAAAUUAUCUCUAUAUGGGCAAAUGCGUGCUCUUUGUCGAAAAAGAAAGCUUCAGCUUCAUGUUCCAGGUGAGUUAAUUAGGCAAUGUAUGAAUGCUAAUAUCUCUUUCACAUAUUUUGCUUAAGAUCUGUCUUAGGACUCUCGUCUGGCCCAUAUGGUUUUCCAAGGGCAGAAGGGCCUCUUUUUGAUGAGAGGCAGUUUUCAGUAACUCUUAAAGUGAUAACAGCAAAGGAGAGGAGAGAGAAGAGUAAGACAAAUCGAAACAUUCUUCAAUUGCUUCUUGGCCUUUUGGCUAAGCUCAAGCUCAAAACAGGUCUUCAAGGAGAAAAUACAUCACAAAGAAAAGGAUGUUUUAUUUCUUACCUUGUCCUAGAAAAAUUUCCAUAAACUCUAUUGGCUUAAUUCUGUAAACUUGACCAAUAUCAGAGUGCUUCCUACCAAGGAGGGUAGCUGAUGAGCGUGACCAUGGUACAUCCUAGAAGAAUGUGUGAUGAAGAAGCUUUCACCGUGUAAAAGAGUUGAAAAUUAUUCAAGGAGACAUUAUGGUCUUGGCCAUAAUUUAAGAACCAGUUUAAAAUAAUUUUUAUAUAGAACUUAGAGUCUAAUUUCUCAGCACAAUUCUUCUUCCCUCCUGAGUGUGGGCUGCUGGAGUGUCAGUUCCAAAUUCUUAUGCAUGAGUAAUCUUAGCAUAUUCAGUAAUAUAUUCCUCUUAUGAGAAAGUAAUCAAGUACAAUAUAACUGAUGACUUUCUUGAUUCAGUAAUCAGUAAUUUGUGAUCAAUUUUACCUGAUGGUGACAGCUUGGUGUAUAAGUUAGUGCUAAUGUAUAUUACUGCAUUUCAUUUCUGUGGAGCCUGUCAGCUGAGCAAAGGAGGGAAACUCAGGAUGGAGAACUCCUCCCCCUCCAUCCAUAAGUGGCACACCACUGGCCUCCUGGUGUUAUUAAAGGAAAAUUGGAAAAGUUUCCAGAAGAUUAAGCAGAAAGCUUACAACUUGCACAAGACUCUCAAUUUUCCAGUGGCUCUGACAGAAGGAUAAAUCUUCGGCUGUUUUAACUAAAAUGGACGGUCAAGUUGGUAUCCAUCGUGAAGCUAAAUGAAUAUCUGGACAGGAGUCAGACAAAGGGAAGGAGAAUCCAGGGGAAGAUGAAGCAGCUGCAGGCCUGUCUGCUACCCUAUAUCCGGGGAAGAGCCAGAAAUUGCUGACCAUAGAGAGUUACAUUGUCCAGCUUUUCCUCCACGAAAUGGAGCAGCAACAAAAGGCCAGAUCAUUCAACCUAUGCUUCCUCAAGUCUGAUAACAUUAGCGUUUCUCUCAGAUAUCAGUUCAAGUAAGGAGUUGCCAAUAGAAGCAAAGAUGCCAGGAAUCAUCGUUUUUAUUUCAGUGUCCUUACGAAGACCUUUGAGCACAAUGGAACGAUGAGGCAACAUUAAAUAUUACUGGAAUGGGGUAUGAAAGCAGCUACUAGAAAAUCCUGCAAGAAAAAUAGAUGGAGAAACUGAGUGCUAAGAGUCUUGCCUUUUAGCUGUCAACAGUUUGAAGAUGAAACAAAUCUGGAACAGCUGAUUUCUAUUGUGGCAGCUAUUACCCAUUUUUGUUAUGCAUCUGUCUCUUCCCAGACUAUAAAUUAUUUAAGGUGUGAGUCGGAGACCUAGGCAUUUCUUAUGGCCAGAACCUUAAGCAAUGUCUGGGAUAUAGCAGAUAUAACAGACUCUCAGCUAUUGCGUGAAUUAAGGAAUGAGCUUGAGAAAUACUUUUAAGUAUUUUCUUCCUGGAAAAGAGACUCCAACUGUCUUUUGUACAGUGCUUGAAACUCAUACCAUUAAUCACUCUUUGAGACUAAAGCUCUGAUAACCUGAGUGAAGAAUUGGUUACAAGGACGUUACAAUGCACCAUGCUACCUUCAGCCAUUUGUGCUUCUGCAUAAAUUGUUUUGACCGAUUAGCCAAUCAGUCACCAACAAGACCCAAAAGGAAUGAGAAUCUAAACAGAUUGUCACCAUUUGGUGGGUUUGAACACCAAGAGGAUAGAGCCUAGAGCAUUGUGGUCUGCUUUAAGACUUCUGAGAGGCAAUAAGGAGCCCUGAGAGAAGCUGAGGGCUUCAAGCAAUGAGAUUUGAGCCUACCUCCCUUCAUCAAAAGUGCAGCUAGAAAAACUUGGAGAAGCAACCAGAACGGGAGUUGGGAGGGUAAUACUUUUACAUCAAAACAACACUAGCUUUAUUGGCUGUAAUAAGAGCAAAGUAUGUAAGUAGAAAUGAUAUUAAUCUGUCAUGCAUAUCACUUCUCAAGUGGUUCCUCAACAAUAGUGUUAAUCAAGCUUUGCCCUACUUUUAUCGGAAACCUGGUGAAGAAUAGCUUUGACAUUUAUCAGACAUAGGACACUAAGAAAAUUGCCAUAUGUAUAAAUAAAUUUAUGCCUUGAAAAUGUUUGUGCCAUGCUCUGGGAAAGGGGGUCAGGAACAAAUGAGAGGGUAGAGGUAGAAGGGAAAGGUCUGCAGAAUGUGGAGGUGAGAAGGAAAGAAGAAAAGGGUUGGGCAUGGAGGGAGGUAACAUCAGGGCUAAACCUAAUAGGCCUGGGGAGACUCCAGAGAUUCAGGCAGUUAAGUUUCUCUCCUUUUUUUUUUUUCUGGUGUUCUCAUUUUCAUUUGGGUGGCUUUGGGCAAGUCUUUCUUAAUCUCAGAUGGUGCUAACACUUUCAUCCAACUGAGGAAUCAAUAACAUGACAGGCUUAAAAGUGUUUUGCUAACUAUAAAGUGAAACACUAAUGUUAUUUAGAGCAAGGAAGAAAAAGUAGAGAGCAUCUAAUAACUUACAAUGCUAUUAUGGUAAAAAAAAAAAAAGUUUGUCCACAGGAUACACAAAGAUGAAUGAGUAAAAAGUGAUUCAUCAAUUAUCCCAACCUAGAAAGACUCAGCCAAGGAUGGACAAAAUACUAAAUUCCUCUCUUAGCUAUAUAUGAAAUAGGUCAGGGAGAGGGUUUAUUUUACUGCUCUCCUUCUUAUAAAUGUGGGGUUCAGAAUUGAACAGUUGUUCCAUCAACCAUGACCCUAAAACCUGGGUAUGCUAGGAAUCUAGGAGAAGAGAUUCAAAUGUAUUUUCGCUUGGAUAUAAAAAUGGGGAGGAAAAGCCACAGUGGUGACAUGUCAUUUUGCAUACCUCAGAAUUCCAGAGAUCCCUAGCUUUUGAUUCUGUGCAGGCUCUCUGUGGUACUGGCUGUAUCAGCUGCUCUUAACCAUGAACCAGAACAUCUUGGAGAGGAGCUGCUAAGUGCCUACUGAGUCUGUAGCAUGGAAAACAUGUCUGCAACGUUAAUGGAGAGCUCCGGUUUCUGGGGCUGAGAGAUUUCAAUCACUGAUAUUGUCAGUGAGUGAGGGUGGCGGGGGCCAUGGUGUAUGCUUGUCUGGAAUAAAGAACAUCAGUUUUGAAAAAAAAAUCAAAAAACAAAAACAAAAACAACCUUGCUAAGUAGGUGCCAGGUGUGGUUGUGAGCCAUUAGUAGGUGUGUAAGCGGACUGGAGCUGGGCCGACUUCCUCCCACGCAACAAGGAGCCCUCCUGCAAGGCCAGGCAGCUCACCACAGCACCACUGCUCAGAAACAGGAGGUUAAUUAGCCCAGCACUUAAUGAGAGCGUCUGGAGGAACUGUUAAGAAAAUACUAAAAAAUAAAUAAGAUGGAGUAACGAUGGAAGGAAGGCAUAGACAUGCUCCGAAAUGGCUGGUAGAAGAAAUAAUAUGGCUGAGACAAAUUGAGAAUGACUGAGCAGCUGAAGCCUGGCCCCAGUGCUGCUUAAGGGGCACCCUCCUAAUGAACAAGCAGUGCAGAGAUGGAGGAACUUAUGAAGCUUGGCAGCUAUGGUGGUGGUGAAGUGUGUGUGCAUAUGUGUGUGUGUGUUGGGGGUAGGGUAGAAUGGGAGAUAGAGUUUCUUUUCAUUUUAAGGACUUUGGAAUCACAAGACUUCUAAGUCAAAGAAAUUAUUAUCUUCUAUCCCUAGGAUCAUUUCGAUUUAUUUCCUAUUAAGCUUGGCACUUAUCAAAAAUAAAUAUUUGUGGAAUAAAUGAGUGGAUUAAAAAAAUGAGUUUUGUUAAUUCAAUGCCAUGAUUUCAUGGCAGUUGUUUUCCAACCAUGCUCUGAAAAGUCUGAGAGUUCCAUGGAGAUAUGUCAGGAAACUCCACGAAAUUGUUGGCAAACUGCUUAGAUGAGUAUAUGUCUCUUCAGAGAAGUAUUUCAAAGUCCAAACACUCAGCAGGGCCUGAUUUAGAACUAGGAGUGUAAAUGAGCCAAAUUUCAGCCUGGCUAUCCUAGCCCAAGGUCACAGGGAGAGUUGGUAGCUGAGUUGAGGCUUAAGUCAAGAACUUCUGACUUCAAUUCCAGUGCUCUUUCCAAUUCGCCAUGCUUAAGGCUGCAUAAAUUUCAGAAGGUUGGGCCAAAUAAUACAUCAAAUGUUCAUGCAAAAUUGUCAGUGCCUUGGAAAUGCAACAAAACUUGAGGGGGAAAAAUAAAAAAUUUAGCCAGUUUUUCAGGGAAAUGAUUGUCCAAAAAUGAGGACUUAGACAAUAAACAAAGUCAGGACAGAAAACCCAGUAAAAUGGCACACACAUAGCAUUAUCAAAGAGAUCACAACGCUGUGAAAUCCUACUCUUGAUCUGAGCUACUGUUCUUUGAGGUAAGUAACAUUAUCCCAACACUAUAGUCUGAAGGCUAGUAUCCUCUCAAAAUUUAUAUGGUGGACCCAAAUACCUAAUAUAGUUAAAAGGUGGGGCCUUUGGGAUAUAAUUCGGUCAUAAGGGCUCCACUCUCAUAAAUGGGAUUAGUGUACUUAUGGAAGAGUCUCAAGUGAGCUCUCUUGCCUUCUUUAAUCAUAGAAGGAUGUAGCAAUAAGGCAUCAUAUUUCAAAAAGAGAGCAAACCUUGCCCAGAAACCAAAUCUGUAGGAGAAUUGAUCUUGGACUUUCCAGCCUCCAGAACUGAAAACAAUACUAUUCUGUUGUAUAAAUUAUCCAGUCUGAGGUAUUUUAUUAUAGCAGCAGGAACAGACUAAGACACCCAAUUUACAGGUAAGAAAGUUGAGGCUCUGCGAGAUGAAAUAACUCAACCAAGGUCACAGUGCUAGGAAAUGGCAGACCCUGAAUUCAAACUUAAUCCUAUCAAAUAUCAAUAUCUUCAGUUCCACUGAGUGGAAUAAAUGAGCAAAAUCUCAUUGUGAGAUAAUUAAUAAAGUUGAAAAACAAAUGGGCAAAAUAAUCAGAAAAUACUGACAGAUACUGUGGUGACAAUGAGAGCCAAAGCUGUCGAUCUCCACACUCUGUCUGGGCACUGAGAACUGAAACCACAUUUUAUCACCUACAAUAGCAUGACUGUGCCAUUUUUCUGUCUCUGUUAGCUUGUCUUUGUUAUUGCUAUUUCUUCAUUAGCAUGGCUUUAUUCUUUCAAAAGUCUCUUGCCUGGGCAAAUAUUUUGAUUGUUCAUUACAGGAACUUCCUGAAAGACUCAAUUCUUCAAUGGAAAACAUCAACACUUUGUUCUCCCAAAUUAUUUGAAUUCCUAACUCAAAAUAUUCACUGUGCUAUUUCCACAAAUCCUGGACAGUUUUAUUACAAUCCUUACCCAAAUGUAAUCAAACUCCAACUUUGAAAGAUUUGCCUAAAAUCAAUAGUUUUUAAGCUUAUCUUCUCUCCACAAGACACUGACAAAGUGUUGCAAAGUGGUGUUCUUCCUUACAAUAAUAAGCAAAUAAUUAGGGUUUUUUCUUACUAAGAGGUUGUGUUGGUAAUAUUUGGGGAGCCAGCUUUUGACAAAAAAUCAGCUUUGGAAAGCAUCCAAAUGCCAAAAUUCCCUCAUCCUCACCUCUCAAACAGAGAAGGAAAUGAGGAAUCCAGACCUAGAACACCAAUAAACAGAGCUUUCAAAAGACUCCACUGCUCUGCCGAGAAUAUUUAAGUUCAGAACAAGGGCCAAGUGGUCUGUUGUCUUUACCCUUUUCUCCUAAAUACAAUAGCUCCUUCUGCAGUCAGAGUUGAAGUCAAUGCUGUUGGGGAGGAAGAGUAAUAUCAAGUAACAUCAAGAAGCCAGAGGCAAAAGGAGGAAGUCAGAGGACCACCUCAUGUCAAAGCCGGGAAGACAAGAGAGUUUAAUAGUGCUACUGGGGUUGGCAUACUGUUCUCUUAGGCUUAUAAUGUCAUAGUGGUGAAGUGGGGGAAACAGAUGCAGAAGUCAAUUUCUAACCAAAAGGUCAGAAUCACAAUAUGACACCUUUCCACCCAAUUCUUUAACACUUUUAAGUUCUUUUUCAAAUUUAUUUAUGAAACCCAAAUUCCAUCUUAAAGGCAUUGCUAUUGGUCUAUCAUUAGAGACAGAGGUGAGAAAUAAAAAAUAGGCUGGGAAACAAAAUACAUACACUUGAGUUCUCUGUGAUGUGGGGGGCUGUUCUACCAGGAAGCCACCAAAGCACAUAGCCUCCCUGUCACAUAGUGCUCAGGCCGAGGAAAUCACAUAGCCUACCUGAUAAUUCUGCAACUCAACUCUGAAUGGGAUUACAGGUGGUGUUGCCAAAAUCCUUUCCAUAUUAAUUUGCUUAUUUGAGUUAUUUUAAUCAACCCAGCAUGAUGUCUAGUACAUAACAGUAUUUUAAAAUAGCAGUCAGAUGAUCUGAUCAUUCAAAUUAGGAGGGGCUCUGAAGGUGGCUGAGUAUAGUGAGAGACGAAUGGUUUAUGACUCUGAUUCAUUGAAUAAAUAUUUAAAAGGAGUCACUACAAGCAAAGAACCACUAUAGUCACUACAAGGGAUGUCAAAAUGUUGGGAUGGAAAAUCAGGAAGAGGGGCAAAACAUGUAUACAAGCCUAGUGCAUGCAGAAGAAACCAGGUGAGGGAGUAGGAGGCAAACUCUUUUAUAUUCAAACUUCCCUUGAAUUUGGCACAUUUUUUGGUUCUACAGAAACAAAACAAAGAGCUUUCUUCUUGCUCUUAAUUUUUUUAAUGUGCUCCCAAACCAUGGUAUUUUCUGUUCUUUAUUAUCAGUUAGUUCUCCUCUGUCUGUUUCUAGCUUCUAAAAGUUUACAGGCAUUUCAUUUCUUUCUUUUACUGUUUCUUUUUCUUUUCUUUUUCUUUUACUUUUUUUUUUUUUUUUUUUUUGAGAUGGAGUUUCACCCCUUCGCCCAGGCUGGAGUGAAGUAGCACAAUCUUGGCUCACUGCAACCUCCGUCCCCCAGGUCCAAGCGAUUCCCCUGACUCAGCCUCCAGAGUAGCUAGGAUUACAGGCACCCACCACAACGCCCAGCUAAUUUUUAUAUUUUUAGUAGAGACGAGGAUUCGCCAUGUUGGCCAGGCUGGUCGACAUUUCUUUUGAACUGAUGAUUCUACUCAUGAUAUUUUUGCUUUUAGUUACAUUUUGUAUUGUUUCUUUACAACAUUGUACUUUAGGAUGUUUAGGAGAGGAGAAGAGCAAAGGAGAUGAGUAUGAAUAUUAAUCCAUCUUCUUCACCUAGAAGGCAUUCAUUGUCUGGUGCCUGGAGGAAUAACAGUAGUGUCCUAACUAGAUUUCAUACCCCAGUUUUGCAAUCCUUAAGACUAUUUGCCGCAUCUUUCUAAAUUGCAAGUCUGAUUACACUAUACUUCUUUGAAGAAGCCUCCAAAAAUUUCAAGUAAUUACUAAAUAAAGUCAAAUUUUCUUGCCAUGACUAAAACAAAGGUCACUAUGAUAUGCACCUGCCCAUAACUUUAAUCUUAUUUCCAUAGACUCUCGGCUCAAAUCUCAUGACCUAAUCCUCUUGAAUGUCUUUCAUAUCCUCACACAUACCAUGCUAGUAUCAGCUUCACACUUUAAUCCCACUAUCCCUUCUUCCUGGAAUGUUAGCACCAUCUCCAUUUUUUUCUGGCCAUCUGGCUAAUCAACUCAUCUUUUGAGACUAUGACAACAUCCUUUCCUCCCUGAAGGCUUCACUAAAUCCUCCAAAUAGAUGCGGCCAUUCCUUCUUUUAUGACCACUCUGUAUCCUGUGCCUACAACUAUUGCAGCAUAUUUUGGCAUGCUUUAAUUAAAAAAGAAAGGAGCCACAAACCCUAUGGUCUCCCUCUAAUAUAUUCUAUGCUCCUCAAAGGCUGACACUGUCUCAUUUAUCUUUUGGCCCUAUUGCUCACCAGAAGGUCUGGCAUAUAAUAGGAACACAUUAAACAUUUGGAACUUUGUCUUCCUCUGCCAUCUGAUAUUGGUAUGCUUUAAUUACUAGCUCAUCUGCAAAAGAUUUUCCCCUCUCCUUACUCCCUAAUACAUGCUUCUUCUUCCUUCUGGCACUGGUCAUAAUAAUCAAGCCCUGGCGUAUCAACCCUCACCACUUAUCUGGGUUCAGAGUAGCAGCUCAAAAUUCAUUAUAAUUUCUGGGAUUUAUCCCAGACUCAGCCCUGAUUCCUGGUUCAUCUCGAUGUCUUGCUUUUCUUUUUCCCACCUGCUGCUUUCCAUGUGUGGUUACUGAUAUAAAGUGCUUUGAUUAAUGGACAGGACAGGGACUAGAACCAGUAAGAUUUCAGCUGAGUCAUGUGUCUCCCCAUUAACAAUUGUGUAACUUGGGUAAGAUACUUAACUGUUCUUAUCUGCAAAACAGAGAUAAUACCUUCCUGAAUUGUUGCUUAAAGAGCAAAUUAGAAAAUAGUUCAAAAUUUAUUAAAAUUCCUUGCAUAUCCCAAACGUUCAACAAAUAUUUGCCUUUUCUUGUUUGUCAUUCAAGUGCUGAGUUGUGCUGAGUCAAGAACUGUACUAAUAGUAAUGUAAAG
RNAcentral lists this long non-coding RNA (9226 nucleotides) under Homo sapiens (human). RNAcentral's name for it is "HSALNT0250421". Lineage: Eukaryota; Metazoa; Chordata; Mammalia; Primates; Hominidae. The record is from RNAcentral.